AAGUCGUAACAAGGUUUCCGUAGGUGAACCUGCGGAAGGAUCAUUAACACGUAUCCAAACGUAAAAAACCCCCCCGUCGCAAUCUCUGGUAAAUCAUAGCCCGGAAAGUAGUUUUGAUUCAGAGACCUCUGGCUACGUGAGAACAUUGGAACAGUUACAAUCGAGCGGUAGUUUCAUAGGCAUUGUUUCCCCAAGCAGUUAGUGUCUGAAAGUGUCACUGAUUGUGCAAGGAUAGCGCUUCAACGAUUCCUGUAGACCGUACACUCGGGCAGGAGCUAUGCCAAAGGGUCCCCAUGCCCCCUUAUAACCCCACAGUUUAAUGUGAAGCUCAAUGUAAUACAUUGGGUAAAAAAACCGAACAACUGUUAACAAUGGAUAUCUUGGUUCUC
Molecule: unclassified non-coding RNA, 389 nt
Filed under: fungal sp.
Lineage: Eukaryota; Fungi
Description: partial internal transcribed spacer region
Rfam family: Eukaryotic small subunit ribosomal RNA (bases 1-46)
Source: RNAcentral